CGAGCUCUGGGCGACGGGUGAGACCCCCGCGCGACUGCUCGCCCUGCUGAUCUGCACUCCUCGGCAGUUCGACGCUGCCGACCUCGAC
This 88-nucleotide transfer RNA is filed under the name Microbacterium hydrocarbonoxydans. RNAcentral's name for it is "tRNA-Ser". The record is from RNAcentral. Lineage: Bacteria; Bacillati; Actinomycetota; Actinomycetes; Micrococcales; Microbacteriaceae.